GUACACUCCUGCGGGAGGCAGCAGUGGGGAAUAUUGGACAAUGGGCGCAAGCCUGAUCCAGCCAUGCCGCGUGAGUGAUGAAGGCCCUAGGGUUGUAAAGCUCUUUCACCGGUGAAGAUAAUGACGGUAACCGGAGAAGAAGCCCCGGCUAACUUCGUGCCAGCAGCCGCGGUAAUACGAAGGGGGCUAGCGUUGUUCGGAUUUACUGGGCGUAAAGCGCACGUAGGCGGACUAUUAAGUCAGGGGUGAAAUCCCGGGGCUCAACCCCGGAACUGCCUUUGAUACUGGUAGUCUUGAGUUCGAGAGAGGUGAGUGGAAUUCCGAGUGUAGAGGUGAAAUUCGUAGAUAUUCGGAGGAACACCAGUGGCGAAGGCGGCUCACUGGCUCGAUACUGACGCUGAGGUGCGAAAGCGUGGGGAGCAAACAGGAUUAGAAACCCCUGUAGUCCCAUG
This 452-nucleotide ribosomal RNA is filed under the name uncultured organism. RNAcentral describes it as "partial 16S ribosomal RNA". It matches the Rfam family "Bacterial small subunit ribosomal RNA", at positions 331 to 799 of the family's 1533-position model. The record is from RNAcentral.